Long non-coding RNA from Limulus polyphemus (Atlantic horseshoe crab), 104 nucleotides. RefSeq lists it as uncharacterized. The transcript has 3 exons. The record is from RefSeq and is a predicted model, not a curated record. NCBI's taxonomy places the organism in Eukaryota, Metazoa, Arthropoda, Merostomata, Xiphosura, Limulidae.
UAUUUUAUUGCAUUACUGGUGUCAUUUUCAAAACGAUCUUUGGUGGGCACCAAACGGAAAAGACCCGAAUUUUUUUUUUUUUUUGAAAAUGCAUGUUUAUCAAA